UGCAUCGGCCGGGAAUCGAACCCAGGCCACCCGCGUGGCAGGCAAGCAUUCUACCACUGAACCACCGAUGC
RNAcentral lists this transfer RNA (71 nucleotides) under Cordylochernes scorpioides. RNAcentral describes it as "tRNA-Gly". Lineage: Eukaryota; Metazoa; Arthropoda; Arachnida; Pseudoscorpiones; Chernetidae. The record is from RNAcentral.